GAUGAACGCUGGCGGCGUGCCUUAGGCAUGCAAGUCGAACGGGAAGUCUUCGGACUUCUAGUGGCGGAAGGGUGAGUAACGCGUGGGAACGUACCUAUUGGUGGAGAAUAGCUCGCCGAAAGGCGGGAUAAUUCUGCAUAAGACCGCAAGGUGAAAGGGCUUAACCGCCCGCCGAUAGAGCGGCCCGCGUCUGAUUAGCUAGUUGGUGAGGUAAAGGCUCACCAAGGCUACGAUCAGUAGCUGGUCUGAGAGGAUGACCAGCCACAUUGGGACUGAGACACGGCCCAAACUCCUACGGGAGGCAGCAGUGGGGAAUCUUGCGCAAUGGGCGAAAGCCUGACGCAGCCAUGCCGCGUGGAUGAUGAAGGUCUUAGGAUUGUAAAAUCCUUUCACCGGUGAAGAUAAUGACUGUAGCCGGAGAAGAAGCCCCGGCUAACUUCGUGCCAGCCGCCGCUGUAA
RNAcentral lists this ribosomal RNA (459 nucleotides) under uncultured bacterium. Its description in RNAcentral is "partial 16S ribosomal RNA". It matches the Rfam family "Bacterial small subunit ribosomal RNA", at positions 28 to 523 of the family's 1533-position model. The record is from RNAcentral.